Bos taurus (domestic cattle) is the source of this 1786-nucleotide long non-coding RNA. NCBI's taxonomy places the organism in Eukaryota, Metazoa, Chordata, Mammalia, Artiodactyla, Bovidae. The record is from Ensembl.
GGGAGGUUCUAGAACAACCGGCCUGGCAGCCUGAUGCAGCAGAAAAACUUCUAAAGAUCCUGAGAAGAAAAGGCCCCAGACUGCUGGAGUUCAAAGUCCUGGCUGCAGUCUCCCAGGAGAGGUGGGCCCUCGCUUAUCACAGUUGAGGCCUGCCCCAAGGCCUCAGGUGCGAGGCCUCGCGCUAAGGCCACAGAAGCGGAGCCCAGAACCAAGGUCACCUCCGAAGCUGAUGGAGCCCUUUUGUAACCGCUGGUCAUCACUCACAAGCUUCCUGACUCCCAGUCAAGCAGCGAUGCCCGCUCCAGUAAACGCCCCUAUUGUGCCCCAACUGGUCGCCUAAUGCCAACCGUCCAGCGGGAAUUUUCUUUGUCUUCAGGCUCUAAAAACUGGCUAUUAACCCAUGAAAACUGUUGACUCCCCCUGGUCUGUCAGGCGUUAUUGGCCCACUGUGCCUGCACUGCCCACUUUAUCUCUCUGCUCUUGGCUCUUCAUAAACUCACUCCCUUCUGAAAUGCUCUGUGUCUGGAAAUUCUGUUCCAGCUUGCUCUUGGACUGCCUCAACACCUAUCUCUGGCCUCUGGGCCUCAGUUCCUUCAGGUGAAGGUGAAGGGUGAGGCCCUGGGGGUUCUGUAAAGACAUGAGAGGGAGUGGCAGGGAAGCUAGGAAGGGGGGGUCUCUGGGAAUCAGCCCCACAUCACCUGCUCACCUGGCAAACCUCGGCCCAUCCAUUAAGCCACCAUCCAGGCACCGUCUCCUCCUGGAAGCCUUCCAGACCUGUCCUAGACCUGCCUAAAGGCCUCCUCCGGGUGGUCACAGAUUACAAGCUAUCUCCUAUCUCCUCCUAUCACAAGCUAUCAAAGAAGUACCUUUGUAAUAGGAGAUAUUAUAGGAGAUACUACAAAGGUACACACCUUUGUAAUUGUCUACACGCUUAUUUACCUGUCAUCAAAGAAUAAGUAAGUGAAGUCGCUCAGUGGUGUCCAACUCUUUGCGACCCCAUGGACUGUAGCCUACCAGGCUCCUCUGUCCAUGCGAUUUUCCAGGCAAUAGUACUGGAGUGGAUUGCCAUUUUCUGCUCCAGGGGAUCUUCCCGAUCCAGGGAUCGAACCCGGGUCUCCCGCAUUGUAGACAGACACUUUACCGUCUAAGCCACCAGGGAAGUCAUCAAAGAAUACCUGAGUUGAAAUUUCAGUUCUGUUACUUCCCAGCUGUGUGACCCUAAGCAAGUGACCUAACCUCUCUGUGCUUCAGUUGGUACAUCCCUAAAACGGUAUCAGUAAACACAAAAUGUUUGUUACAUGCCACUCCCUGUCUUAUGUCCUCAAUUUCAUCUGCAAAACAUCUCUAUGAGACUGAUAUGAAAGGCAUUCAUUUCUACUUUAAACAAAUGAGAAAACUGGGAAUUCCCUGGCGGGCCAGUGGUUAAGACUCAGUGCUUUCAGUGCCAGGGUCCUGGCUCGGUUUGAGGACCUCUGGUCUGGUCAGGGAACCAAGAUCCAACAAGCUGUGUGGCGUGGUCAAAAAAAAAAAAAAAAAGAGAGAGAGAGAAAAAACUGAGGCACAGAGAGGUUAAGUACUUUGCCCAAAGUCACACAGCUUGUAAGUGGCAGGGCCCGUAGUACUCAAAUCAUGUAGUCCAAUUGCAAAGUGACUCGAUUACCUCUCAGAAGCUAUGUCAUUGGAUGUGGUGAGGGUGAUAUGAGUAAAUAAAGCUGCUUGGCACAUGGCAGGUACUCAAUGUUGGGAGUUGGAUGCUCAGUUGUGUUCGACUCUUUGCAACCCCGUG